RNAcentral lists this long non-coding RNA (891 nucleotides) under Malus domestica (apple). RNAcentral describes it as "long non-coding RNA (MDOM_LNC000820)". The record is from RNAcentral. Lineage: Eukaryota; Viridiplantae; Streptophyta; Magnoliopsida; Rosales; Rosaceae.
GAUUCUUAGAUUAUAACACUUUAAGCAUGAAGUCGUAUUCUCAACAUACUAAAACAUUUCUCACCCACUUGGUAUUACAACUUAAGUAGCCUUUCGGGAGAGAUUUCAUUUUGCAGUCGAAAUAAACAAAACCUGUUGGCACUUAACUCACAAAUAUUUAAAGCUCGUUUGAUAAAAAAUUUAUUUUUCCGUUUUUCUUUUGUGGUUAGAUUGAAGGAAAAUUUGUGAAGCAACUAAGGUGUAGAUAAAAAGUAUCCGAAAAUCAUAAUUAGAACCGUUUAUUCUUUUUAUCGUUAUUUAAAGAUCUUAUAUGCCAAAAAUAUUAUUCAAUUUGAGGAUAACGUAAAUAAACAACGAAGAUAUUACUCGUGACCAAAACCAUUGAUCAUGUAUAGAUGAUUAAACAAUCUCUAAAUUGAAUAUUUUUUUGCAGAUAAUCUCCAUAAGCACUAGUGCUCUAAUACUAAUUACUAAUAGUCAUUCGUGGACUAAUCAUGUUCGCCUUUUAGGUUGUUGUCCCUUAAUUACUAAUAGUCAUUCGCGGACUAAUUACUAAUAGAUAUUCAAACAACAAAGAUUCAUUAAAAGUGAUUAGGAGUAGUAAUAAGUCCUUCCCUGAGAGAACAUCAGCAUUAUUUUUCCCUAUAGCAUUCAAGGUUCAAUAAAUUAAUAGAAGGAGGUUAGUCGACAUAAUCGAUGGUUAGACUGCGAAACGAAAAACUCUAGGUGUGACAACAACUACAUAAUGAAGAAUGUAAAAGUGGUAUCAUAUGGAAUAGACAAACAACUAAAAAUUUGAGUUUUUCCCCUUAAACGAACAUUUUCUUACUUUUAACCCGUCUUAUUUCUUUUUCUAGAGUUAACUUAAUAAUUAGUAUCAAUCUGUUACUU